This 546-nucleotide ribosomal RNA is filed under the name uncultured bacterium. RNAcentral describes it as "bacterial SSU rRNA". It matches the Rfam family "Bacterial small subunit ribosomal RNA", at positions 38 to 573 of the family's 1533-position model. The record is from RNAcentral.
AGCGGCAGGCCUAACACAUGACAAGUCGAGGGGUAACAGGGUAGUGCUUGCACUCCGCUGACGACCGGCGCACGGGUGCGCACCGCGUAUGGAACCUACCUUUUGCAGGGGAAUAGCCCAGGGAAACUUGGAUUAAUGCCCCGUAGUAUCGCGACACUGCAUGGUGUUGUGAUUAUAGUCUUCGGGCGGCAAAAGAUGGCCAUGCGUCCCAUUAGUUAGAUGGUAAGGUAACGGCUUACCAUGACUACGAUGGGUAGGGGCCCUGAGAGGGGGAUCCCCCACACUGGUACUGAGACACGGACCAGACUCCUACGGGAGGCAGCAGUGAGGAAUAUUGGACAAUGGGCGGGAGCCUGAUCCAGCCAUGCCGCGUGCAGGAAGACGGCCCUAUGGGUUGUAAACUGCUUUUAUACGGGAAGAAAAACAGCUACGUGUAGUUGACUGACGGUACCGUAAGAAUAAGGACCGGCUAACUCCGUGCCAGCAACCGCGGUAAUACGGAGGGUCCGAGCGUUAUCCGGAAUUAUUGGAUUUAAAGGGUCCGUA